RNAcentral lists this ribosomal RNA (441 nucleotides) under uncultured bacterium. RNAcentral describes it as "partial 16S ribosomal RNA". It matches the Rfam family "Bacterial small subunit ribosomal RNA", at positions 338 to 795 of the family's 1533-position model. The record is from RNAcentral.
CCUACGGGGGGCAGCAGUGGGGGAUAUUGCACAAUGGGGGGAACCCUGAUGCAGCGACGCCGCGUGGGUGAAGGAGUGCUUCGGCAUGUAAAGCCCUAUCGGCAGGGAAGAAGCAAGACGGUACCUGACUAAGAAGCCCCGGCUAACUACGUGCCAGCAGCCGCGGUAAUACGUAGGGGGCGAGCGUUAUCCGGAUUCACUGGGUGUAAAGGGAGCGUAGACGGCCAUGCAAGCCAGGGGUGAAAGCCCGGGGCCCAACCCCGGGACUGCCCUUGGAACUGUGCGGCUAGAGUGCGGGAGGGGCAGGCGGAAUUCCUGGUGUAGCGGUGAAAUGCGUAGAUAUCAGGAGGAACACCGGCGGCGAAGGCGGCCUGCUGGACCGCGACUGACGUUGAGGCUCGAAAGCGUGGGGAGCGAAAGGGAUUAGAUACCCCUGUAGUC